Molecule: transfer RNA, 64 nt
Filed under: Cavia porcellus (domestic guinea pig)
Lineage: Eukaryota; Metazoa; Chordata; Mammalia; Rodentia; Caviidae
Rfam family: tRNA
About the family: Transfer RNA (tRNA) molecules are approximately 80 nucleotides in length.
Source: Rfam by way of RNAcentral
GGGGAUCUAGCUCAGUGGCAUAAGCACCUGCCUUGCAAGCAGGAGGUUGUGAGUUCGAUCCCUG